CUAUAAUUUAAUGUUGUCCAACAAUUUCUUCAAAAAGCAUUUUCCCUUUGUGUCAUGAAAAGUUGAAAGUUUAAUUAAAAUAUAAUGAAUUCUAAUAAUAAGCAAACCCUUGAUGUACUAAGUGUGCUAAAGAGGCAUCCAUAACACAUUGAUUUUCUUAAGAGACAUUUACUAUGCAUGCAAAAGGGACAAAUACAAGAACCUAAAAUAUUUAAUUGUUUUUAAUAUUGCAUGAACUUUACAAACUAUAUAAUGAUCGUAUCAUAUUUUGUUUUGGUUCAUGCAAAGAGUGAAAAAGAUGGCUAAUACUCUCAAAUUUGUUUUUGUUACAAUUUUGUUUCUUUCUCUAUUUUUUGUUGCAAAAUGUGGUGACGCAGGACAAGUUGAAUGUAAAAUCGAUGCUGAUUGUCCACAAAUUUCCGAAUUCAUUCCUAUUUUUUAUAAGUGCGUUAACAAUAUAUGUGAAGUUUUAAAGCCAAAACCAUUUUUUGUUU
This is a long non-coding RNA of Vicia villosa (hairy vetch), 494 nucleotides long. RefSeq lists it as uncharacterized. NCBI's taxonomy places the organism in Eukaryota, Viridiplantae, Streptophyta, Magnoliopsida, Fabales, Fabaceae. The transcript is spliced from 2 exons. The record is from RefSeq and is a predicted model, not a curated record.